This 547-nucleotide ribosomal RNA is filed under the name Epichloe festucae var. lolii. RNAcentral describes it as "partial large subunit ribosomal RNA". It matches the Rfam family "Eukaryotic large subunit ribosomal RNA", at positions 52 to 607 of the family's 3401-position model. The record is from RNAcentral. Lineage: Eukaryota; Fungi; Ascomycota; Sordariomycetes; Hypocreales; Clavicipitaceae.
GGAGGAAAAGAAACCAACAGGGAUUGCCCCAGUAACGGCGAGUGAAGCGGCAACAGCUCAAAUUUGAAAUCUGGCCCCCCGGGGCCCGAGUUGUAAUUUGCAGAGGAUGCUUUUGGCGAGGCGCCUUCCGAGUUCCCUGGAACGGGACGCCACAGAGGGUGAGAGCCCCGUCUGGUUGGAUGCCGAGCCUCUGUAAAGCUCCUUCGACGAGUCGAGUAGUUUGGGAAUGCUGCUCUAAAUGGGAGGUAUAUGUCUUCUAAAGCUAAAUAUUGGCCAGAGACCGAUAGCGCACAAGUAGAGUGAUCGAAAGAUGAAAAGCACUUUGAAAAGAGGGUUAAAUAGUACGUGAAAUUGUUGAAAGGGAAGCGCUCAUGACCAGACUUGGGCCCGGUGAAUCAUCCAGCGUUCUCGCUGGUGCACUUUGCCGGGCUCAGGCCAGCAUCAGUUCGCCCCGGGGGAGAAAGGCUCUGGGAAUGUGGCUCCUCCGGGAGUGUUAUAGCCCUCUGCGCAAUGCCCUGGGGCGGACUGAGGUCCGCGCAUCUGCAAG